This 856-nucleotide ribosomal RNA is filed under the name uncultured marine group I thaumarchaeote. Its description in RNAcentral is "SSU rRNA". It matches the Rfam family "Archaeal small subunit ribosomal RNA", at positions 23 to 887 of the family's 1478-position model. The record is from RNAcentral. Lineage: Archaea; Thermoproteati; Nitrososphaerota.
CUGACUGCUAUCGGAUGAUACUAAGCCAUGCGAGUCAUUGUAGCAAUACAAGGCAGACGGCUCAGUAACGCGUAGUCAACCUACCCUAUGGACGGGAAUAACCUCGGGAAACUGAGUAUAAUGCCCGAUAGAACAUUAUGCCUGGAAUGGUUUAUGUUCCAAAUGAUUUAUCGCCGUAGGAUGGGACUGCGGCCUAUCAGUUUGUUGGUGAGGUAAUGGCCCACCAAGACUAUUACAGGUACGGGCUCUGAGAGGAGUAGCCCGGAGAUGGGUACUGAGACACGGACCCAGGCCCUAUGGGGCGCAGCAGGCGAGAAAACUUUGCAAUGUGCGAAAGCACGACAAGGUUAAUCCGAGUGGUUUCUGCUAAAGGAACCUUUUGUUAGUCCUAAAAACACUAACGAAUAAGGGGUGGGCAAGUUCUGGUGUCAGCCGCCGCGGUAAAACCAGCACCUCAAGUGGUCAGGAUGAUUAUUGGGCCUAAAGCAUCCGUAGCCUGCUCUGUAAGUUUUCGGUUAAAUCUGUAUGCUCAACAUACAGGCCGCCGGAAAUACUGCAGGGCUAGGGAGUGGGAGAGGUAGACGGUACUCGGGAGGAAGUGGUAAAAUGCUUUGAUCUUUCGAUGACCACCUGUGGCGAAGGCGGUCUACCAGAACACGUCCGACGGUGAGGGAUGAAAGCUGGGGGAGCAAACCGGAUUAGAUACCCGGGUAGUCCCAGCCGUAAACUAUGCAAACUCAGUGAUGCAUUGGCUUGUGGCCAAUGCAGUGUUGCAGGGAAGCCGUUAAGUUUGCCGCCUGGGAAGUACGUACGCAAGUAUGAACUUAAAGGAAUUGGCGGGGGAGCACCACAAGGG